AUUGAACGCUGGCGGAAUGCUUUACACAUGCAAGUCGAACGGCAGCACGGGAGCUUGCUCCUGGUGGCGAGUGGCGAACGGGUGAGUAACAUAUCGGAACGUACCCCGUCGUGGGGGAUAACUCUCCGAAAGGAGUGCUAAUACCGCAUACGACCUGAGGGUGAAAGCGGGGGACCUGCAAGGGCCUCGCGCGAUGGGAGCGGCCGAUAUCGGAUUAGCUAGUUGGUGAGGUAAAGGCUCACCAAGGCGACGGAUCCGUAGCGGGUCUGAGAGGACGACCCGCCACACGUGGAACUGAGACACGGUCCAGACUCCUACGGGAGGCAGCAGGU
This 332-nucleotide ribosomal RNA is filed under the name uncultured bacterium. RNAcentral's name for it is "bacterial SSU rRNA". It matches the Rfam family "Bacterial small subunit ribosomal RNA", at positions 29 to 355 of the family's 1533-position model. The record is from RNAcentral.